AUGGUCAGCUAGCUAGGGCGAUGGUGAAUCUGCUGAAGAAUCAUUAUUUGAUGCAAGAGCAAAGGGGGAUACGAGGGGGAGAUAGUCGCUGGCAAGUUCUUGCUUGCAUGUGCACGUUCCUUCGUCUACCUCUUUUGUUCAUACACUUUAUUCACACCUGUGCACUUGUUGUAGGUCGCUCGCAAGAGUUGAUCUAUGUUUUAUCUACACUCUAUUAUCGUAUGUCCAUAGAAUGUCUCAAAGACGCCGACCUCCGGGUCGUGGCUCUUUAUGAAUUUAUACAACUUUCAGCAACGGAUCUCUUGAGCUCUCGCAUCUAUGAAGAACGCAGCGAAUUGCGAUAAGUAAUGUGAAUUGCUGAUUUUUAGUGAAUCAUCGAAUCUUUGAACGCACCUUGCGCUCCUUGGUAUUCCGAGGACCAUGCCUGUUUGAGUGUCAUUGGUAUUCUCAACCGUGUCUUGCAUCUUGCUUGAUUCACGGCUUGGAUUGUGCAGGUUGCUGGCGGCGAAACACUGUCGGCUCUUCUGAAAUAUAUUAGCAAAGGACGAGCGAGUCUUGCCGUGCCCGGCCUUCGACGUGAUAAUGAUCGUUGUUCGCUGGAGCGUCAGACAUGCAUUGAUCGUUCCAUGCUUCGAAUAAAAUCUGUGCUUAGCUACUAGUCUGUCAUUGGACGAACGCGGCACUACUCACUCGAUACUAGAUCUCACAUCAUGUAGGACAAACUUCUGAACAUGAUAUGGCCCAGUACGAU
RNAcentral lists this ribosomal RNA (751 nucleotides) under uncultured Boletus. RNAcentral describes it as "eukaryotic LSU rRNA". The stretch from base 283 to 438 matches the Rfam family "5.8S ribosomal RNA". The record is from RNAcentral. Lineage: Eukaryota; Fungi; Basidiomycota; Agaricomycetes; Boletales; Boletaceae.